This 3332-nucleotide ribosomal RNA is filed under the name Ambystoma mexicanum (axolotl). RNAcentral describes it as "eukaryotic LSU rRNA". The stretch from base 604 to 3219 matches the Rfam family "Eukaryotic large subunit ribosomal RNA". The record is from RNAcentral. Lineage: Eukaryota; Metazoa; Chordata; Amphibia; Caudata; Ambystomatidae.
ACUCUUGGCGGUGGAUCACUCGGCACGUGUGUCGAUGAAACGCAGCUAGCUGCGAGAAUUAGUGUGAAUUGCAGAACACAUUGAUCAACACUUCGAACGCACCAUGCAGCCCCGGGUUCUUCCCGGGUUAUGCCUGUCUGAGGGUUGCUUGUACAUCAAUCGCCCGGGGUUCCCUCCGAGGGGCAUGGCUGGGGACUGUUGCAGGGACCCCGUUCCCUUCGUCCCCCUAAGGUCAGACUCCGAUCAGCACCGUCGCAGGAUCCCUGGAUCUGUCGCGCAGGCUUAUUCCCAGCCUCAUGCGGGUUUCGGGAGGGCUGGGUGGCCAGCGUGCCCCAGAUAUGGUGGUGGAGGCGGGCCUUAAAAAAGCCUGGCACACCUUCACCCUACCCUGGGGCACCUGGCCAUGCUGUGUGUGGCUGUAUGUGGUGUCCCGUGGCUGCCGCCGCAGGAUGACCAUGGAGCAUGGGACUUGUUACCAUGUGGGCUUCGGCCGCAGAUCAGGACAGCGCACAUUCUGCUGCUCCAGAGGCACAGGGCUGGGGCAACCCUCCACCCCCGUACGGGCAUGAGGCCAGCUGCCCGAGCUUUGUGCUCCCCUGACUACUGCCUCAGAUCAGACGUGGCGACCUGCUGAAUUUAAGCAUAUUACUAAGUGGAGGAAAAUAAACUAACCAGGAUUCCCUCAGUAACGGCCAGUGAAUAGGGAAGAGCCCAGGCAUGGGAAAACUGGCGUGCAGAAGACUGAUUCCCCGGCAUCGCUCAUGGGGCUCAAGUCCUUCUGAUCGAGUCACACCUCGCUGACAGUGUUAGGCCGGUAGCGGCCUCUGGCCUGCUGGGAUCAGGUCUUCUUGUAGUCAGGUUGCUUGGGAAUGCAGCAAAAAGCAGGUGGUAAACUCCAUCUAAGGCUAAAUACGGGCACAAGACAGAUGGCUAACAAGUACCAUAAGAGAAAGUUGAAAAGAACUUUGAAGGAGCAGUUUCAAGAGGGCGUGAAACCAUUGAGAGUUAAAUUGGUGGGGUCCAUGCAGUCCACCUGCAGGAUUCAACACGGCAGGUAGAUGGGUCGCCUGGAACGGUGAAUGCCUUGCGGGACUGCGGCCCGGGCAGACCAGACCCUGUAGGCACAUUUCCUCUGUGACAGUGCACUGCGACUGGCUGGCAAGGCCCCAGGGGGAGGUGGCUCUCUGCUACAGCAGAGAGUGUUACAGCCCCCUGACAGCAGUUUUGCUGGGUCUGCAGAGCCGAGGGAGAUUGACCGCUGCCGUGCCCUUCUCCAGCAACCGUCCUGGCCCUCUUGGGGUUCGCCGGGCAGCGACGGGAGACAGGGCUCCCAAUGCGACUGUGGCGGACUGCCCUCAGUACGCCCCGACCACGUCGUGCGGCUGGGUGGGCAGGCCACAAAGGGCACCAUAGGUCUGAGGUGAUGUUGGUUAACCACCGGCCUGUCUUGAAACACGGGCUAAGGAGUCUUAAUACAUGCGCGAGUCGAAGGGCCAAAUGAAACCCUACGGUGGCCAUGGAAGUCAUAAUAAUAAUAAUAAUAAUAAUAAAUAAUAAUAAUAUGCUAAGGAGCCCCGGGGAGAGUUCUCUUUUCUUUUGUGAAGGGCAGGGCACCCUGGAAUGGGUUCACCCUGAGAGAGCGUCCCAAGACUUGGAAAGCGUUGCGGUUACGGCAGUGAGCUCUCGCUGGUCUUUGAAAAUCCGGGGGAGAUGGUGUAAUCUCGCGCCGGGCCGUACCCAUAUAUGCAGCAGGUCUCCAAGGUGAACAGCCUCUGGCAUGCCGGGCUGUAUCCAUAUCCGCAGCAGGUCUCCAAGGUGAACAGCCUCUGGCAUGCCAGGGAGUACCUAUAUCCGCAGCAGGUCUCCAAGGUGAACAGCCUCUGGCAUGUUGGAAUGUAGGAAAGGGAAGUCGACAAGUCAGAUCCGUAACUUCGGGAUAAGGAUUGGCUCUAAGGGCUGGGGUGCAAAGCAGGGCUGGGCGUGCGCUGCGGCUGGACGAGGCGUCUCACCCUGCCUCCCCCCAUGGGGUGGUGCCGAAUCUGGAUGCGAGCCGGGCCCUGCCUGUGGAUCGCCCCAGCUGCAGUGGUCGCCUCUAUCCAUUCCCCUCACAGGGUUCGGAGCCGACGUUCUGCCUCUGCCGACGCCUUGCAGCUGACUUGGAACUGGUGCGGACCAGGGGAAUUUGACUGUUUAAUUAAAACAGCAUUGCGAAGGCCUGCGGUGGGUGUUGACGCAAUGUGAUUUCUGCCCAGUGCUCUGAAUGUCAAAGUGAAGAAAUUCAAUGAAGCGCGGGUAAACGACAGGAGUAAUUAUGGCUCUUAAGGUAGUCAAAUGCCUCGUCAUCUAAUUAGUGAUGCGCAUGAAUGGAUGAACGAGAUUCCCACUGUUCCUACCUACUAUCUAGCGAAACCACAGCCAAGGGAACGGGCUUGGCAGAAUCUGCAGGGAAAUAAGACCCAGUUGAGCUUGUCUCUAGUCUGGCACUGUGAAGGGACAUGCAAGGUGUAGGAUAAGUGGGAGGCCCUCUGGCCGCCGGUGACAUACCACUACUCUUAACAUUUUUUCACUUACCCGGUGAGGUGGGGGCCAAGCCCCAUGGGGCUCUCACUUCUGGCGACUGGCGCCCACCCUCCGUGACCCGCUCCGGGGACAGUGGCAGUUGGGGAGUUUGACUGCGGCGGUAAACCUGUCAAACAAUAAUGCAGGUGUCCUAAGGCGAACUAAGGGAGGACAGAAACCGCACGCGGAGGAGAAGGGCAAAAGCUCACUUCAUCUCAAUUUUUCAGUAUGAAUACAGACCUUGAAAGUGGGGUCUCAUGAUCCUUCUGACCUUUUGGGUUUCAAGCAGGAGGUGUCAGAAAUGUUACCACAGGGAUAGCUGGCUUGUGGCGGCCAAGCGUUCAUAGUGACGUAGCUUUUUGAUCAAUGUCAUCUUUUCCUAUCAUUGUGUAGCAGAAUUCACCAAGCGUUGGAUUGGGCACCCACUAAUAGGGAACAUGAGGUGGGUUUAGACCUUUGUGGGACAGGUUAGUUUUACUCUACUGAUGAUGUGUUGUUUCAAUAGUAAUCCUGCUCAGUGCAAAAGGAACCGCAAGUUCAGCCAUUUGGUGUAUGUGCUUGGCUGAGGAGUCAAUGGGGCAAAGCUACCAUCUGUGGGAUUAUGACUGAACGCCUCUAAGUCAGAAUCCCCCCUAAACCGUAACGAUACUGCAUCGCUGUCGAGCUUCAGUUGGCCCAGGAUAGCUGGUCUCUGGGCCGGUGCAUAGAGCCGUUCGCCUCGGGAUUCGAGUGUGGGCAGAAGGGGGCCACCACUCUCGAUCGUAGUGUACCGC